AAGUCUAGGGAAAGGUGUGUCAGGGUGCACAGGAUCAAAGUAUUCGUAUGGCUAGAUGUCACUAGGGGGUCAGAGGUUAGGAAGUAACUGGAUUUAGAAGCAGAAGGCCAAGAAUCACCCUGGUUAGGUCACCUGGAAAAGGGUCAUUUGUGUUAAUGUGUGCUAAUAGCUGCCAACAUUUUUACAGCAUUUGCUCUGUGUCAGGUAUUAUGCAAAGUACUUGCUCUACAUCUCAUUUGAUCUUCACAACAACCCAGGGAGGCCACACCUGCAUACCGAACAUCACAGAUCCGCAUCCGUGGAGACGUCACAAACAAACCAAUGAACACGCAGCAGGGAUGAGGGUCUGGUCCUCGAGUUUCCCAAAGUCACAAAGGACACCAACCAGGGUAGGAAUGGUGACCCACCUUCUAGGCUCCACCUCCACCAUUGCCACUAUGGACUCCGAGGGACCCACAGACAGCAAAGGGCAAGGUGUUAAGAACUUUCCUGGAAGCAUGGAGAUGGCCCAAAACAAGAGGAGUUGUAAAUGCAUUUUGAAAAGAGGGAGGGAACCCCAAGCUCUGACUACUGAUGGAAAAGACAGACACUGGGGCCAGGGGGUA
Sarcophilus harrisii (Tasmanian devil) is the source of this 605-nucleotide long non-coding RNA. RefSeq lists it as uncharacterized. The record is from RefSeq and is a predicted model, not a curated record. The transcript has 3 exons. NCBI's taxonomy places the organism in Eukaryota, Metazoa, Chordata, Mammalia, Dasyuromorphia, Dasyuridae.